This 349-nucleotide ribosomal RNA is filed under the name uncultured bacterium. Its description in RNAcentral is "bacterial SSU rRNA". It matches the Rfam family "Bacterial small subunit ribosomal RNA", at positions 30 to 366 of the family's 1533-position model. The record is from RNAcentral.
AUUGAACGCUGGCGGCAUGCUUUACACAUGCAAGUCGAACGGUAACAGGGAAAAGCUUGCUUUUCUGCUGACGAGUGGCGAACGGGUGAGUAAUACAUCGGAACGUGCCCUGUAGUGGGGGAUAACUACUCGAAAGAGUGGCUAAUACCGCAUACAACCUGAGGGUAAAAGUAGGGGGACCGGCAAGGCCUCACGCUAUAGGAGCGGCCGAUGGAAGAUUAGGUAGUUGGUAGGGUAAAGGCCUACCAAGCCGACGAUCUUUAGUCGGGUCGUGAGAGGACGAUCCGCCACACUGGGACGUGAGACACGGCCCACGACUCCUACGGGAGGGCAGCAGUGGGGAAGUUUU